This 1872-nucleotide ribosomal RNA is filed under the name Escherichia coli. RNAcentral describes it as "partial 23S ribosomal RNA". It matches the Rfam family "Bacterial large subunit ribosomal RNA", at positions 375 to 2236 of the family's 2925-position model. Lineage: Bacteria; Pseudomonadati; Pseudomonadota; Gammaproteobacteria; Enterobacterales; Enterobacteriaceae. The record is from RNAcentral.
GUACACAAAAAUGCACAUGCUGUGAGCUCGAUGAGUAGGGCGGGACACGUGGUAUCCUGUCUGAAUAUGGGGGGACCAUCCUCCAAGGCUAAAUACUCCUGACUGACCGAUAGUGAACCAGUACCGUGAGGGAAAGGCGAAAAGAACCCCGGCGAGGGGAGUGAAAAAGAACCUGAAACCGUGUACGUACAAGCAGUGGGAGCACGCUUAGGCGUGUGACUGCGUACCUUUUGUAUAAUGGGUCAGCGACUUAUAUUCUGUAGCAAGGUUAACCGAAUAGGGGAGCCGAAGGGAAACCGAGUCUUAACUGGGCGUUAAGUUGCAGGGUAUAGACCCGAAACCCGGUGAUCUAGCCAUGGGCAGGUUGAAGGUUGGGUAACACUAACUGGAGGACCGAACCGACUAAUGUUGAAAAAUUAGCGGAUGACUUGUGGCUGGGGGUGAAAGGCCAAUCAAACCGGGAGAUAGCUGGUUCUCCCCGAAAGCUAUUUAGGUAGCGCCUCGUGAAUUCAUCUCCGGGGGUAGAGCACUGUUUCGGCAAGGGGGUCAUCCCGACUUACCAACCCGAUGCAAACUGCGAAUACCGGAGAAUGUUAUCACGGGAGACACACGGCGGGUGCUAACGUCCGUCGUGAAGAGGGAAACAACCCAGACCGCCAGCUAAGGUCCCAAAGUCAUGGUUAAGUGGGAAACGAUGUGGGAAGGCCCAGACAGCCAGGAUGUUGGCUUAGAAGCAGCCAUCAUUUAAAGAAAGCGUAAUAGCUCACUGGUCGAGUCGGCCUGCGCGGAAGAUGUAACGGGGCUAAACCAUGCACCGAAGCUGCGGCAGCGACACUAUGUGUUGUUGGGUAGGGGAGCGUUCUGUAAGCCUGUGAAGGUGUACUGUGAGGUAUGCUGGAGGUAUCAGAAGUGCGAAUGCUGACAUAAGUAACGAUAAAGCGGGUGAAAAGCCCGCUCGCCGGAAGACCAAGGGUUCCUGUCCAACGUUAAUCGGGGCAGGGUGAGUCGACCCCUAAGGCGAGGCCGAAAGGCGUAGUCGAUGGGAAACAGGUUAAUAUUCCUGUACUUGGUGUUACUGCGAAGGGGGGACGGAGAAGGCUAUGUUGGCCGGGCGACGGUUGUCCCGGUUUAAGCGUGUAGGCUGGUUUUCCAGGCAAAUCCGGAAAAUCAAGGCUGAGGCGUGAUGACGAGGCACUACGGUGCUGAAGCAACAAAUGCCCUGCUUCCAGGAAAAGCCUCUAAGCAUCAGGUAACAUCAAAUCGUACCCCAAACCGACACAGGUGGUCAGGUAGAGAAUACCAAGGCGCUUGAGAGAACUCGGGUGAAGGAACUAGGCAAAAUGGUGCCGUAACUUCGGGAGAAGGCACGCUGAUAUGUAGGUGAAGUCCCUCGCGGAUGGAGCUGAAAUCAGUCGAAGAUACCAGCUGGCUGCAACUGUUUAUUAAAAACACAGCACUGUGCAAACACGAAAGUGGACGUAUACGGUGUGACGCCUGCCCGGUGCCGGAAGGUUAAUUGAUGGGGUUAGCGCAAGCGAAGCUCUUGAUCGAAGCCCCGGUAAACGGCGGCCGUAACUAUAACGGUCCUAAGGUAGCGAAAUUCCUUGUCGGGUAAGUUCCGACCUGCACGAAUGGCGUAAUGAUGGCCAGGCUGUCUCCACCCGAGACUCAGUGAAAUUGAACUCGCUGUGAAGAUGCAGUGUACCCGCGGCAAGACGGAAAGACCCCGUGAACCUUUACUAUAGCUUGACACUGAACAUUGAGCCUUGAUGUGUAGGAUAGGUGGGAGGCUUUGAAGUGUGGACGCCAGUCUGCAUGGAGCCGACCUUGAAAUACCACCCUUUAAUGUUUGAUGUUCUAACGUUGACCCGU